CCCAGUUUAGUCAUGGACAGAUAAACAGUUCUUAGUUCUCCUCCUCAAAGGAUGCCCAUUACCAACGCAAGAAGGGUGAACAUUUCUGCCAGUGUCCAUGUUGGGAAGAACCCAUGUGUUCCUGCCUUACCGAGAUGCAGGCUUCAUUCAGCAGUGUAACACGCUUGCAGAAUGUUAGUGGAAAAAUUGCAGGAUUUGCUGAUUUUUGGUAUGAAAUGGGAUUUACUUUGUGUGCUGUGUGCUCCAUCUACCGCUGCCAGCCAACAUGACCGACACCUUCACACCAAGUCCAUUGCACUCCUGGUCCAGCACCGCCAGGACAGUUUGGAUGGCACCCUCUCGGCCCCCUGCGUGACCAGCAGCCAGGUGUGAGAUCAUCGCCAUGAUGACAUUGUACUCAUGAAGAACCCAGAGGGCAAAGGGCUGGGUGACCCUGCCUAAAGUUCUGGUACUUCUCAUCCUGCCCCGGGAGCUGACUGCCCUGCCAUUCUCUACAUCUGUUGAGUUCUACCUUGAAACAAGUGUAAUAUUCGGCCCCCUUCAGGAAAUGAAAUCUACCACAAGGACACCAUCUCCUUCUUUGAAAUGGAUUGCCCAAAGAAAAAGAUUCAGCGGAGAAUUACUGCAUGCAUGGCAUGCAUUCUGACCUUGCCUCGCUAUCAGCGGACGGGCUAUGGAAAAGUGCUCAUUGAAUUCAGAGAAAGCUCAAAGCAUGAACCUGCCGUUCCAUCUUCAGCAAUACUGCUGUGGUCUUUGCCUGGAUUUAUGUCACACAGCAGUUAUAGAGAAUGGAUGAGUAUUUCAGCCAGUUAUUCAGCAUUUGUAUCAACAUUACAAACUCAUCAUCCAGUAAUUGCUAUUUACUGAGUCUGAC
Long non-coding RNA from Scleropages formosus (Asian bonytongue), 874 nucleotides. RefSeq lists it as uncharacterized. The transcript has 4 exons. NCBI's taxonomy places the organism in Eukaryota, Metazoa, Chordata, Actinopteri, Osteoglossiformes, Osteoglossidae. The record is from RefSeq and is a predicted model, not a curated record.